AAAGCAUGGAGAAGUUCUUCAAGUUCUCCAUUAUGCAGUUGGACAGAAAUAUGAACCAUAUCAUGAUUACUUCUGCUUAUCGUUUCUGCUCUUACAGAGGACACAAAAGCUCUCAAUCAGCUUAACACACUUAUCCAGGAUGGGAAGUAGAUAGCAUCAGUUCUUUAUACUUAUCGCAGCUAUGUCAAAGCACUUCCUCAGGGGGUAUGUUGGAAUUCGCAGUUCGGGAUUCAGAGACUUUCUGCCGAAACCGGAGCUGCUUCGAUCUAUUGUGGAUUCUGGUUUUGAACAUCCUUCCGAAGGCAAAGUUUUAAACUCAUGUCUGAUGUUAACAUUCGUGAAUUCCAUGAAUUAAGUCAUUUUGUUUUUCUUGCUUUUAGUGACUUAUAAUGGUGGGCGGUAUACAAGUUUGGUGGUUUAUUAUUUUGAUUCUAUAUUUAUA
Gossypium arboreum is the source of this 442-nucleotide long non-coding RNA. RefSeq lists it as uncharacterized. The record is from RefSeq and is a predicted model, not a curated record. The transcript is spliced from 3 exons. Lineage: Eukaryota; Viridiplantae; Streptophyta; Magnoliopsida; Malvales; Malvaceae.